RNAcentral lists this ribosomal RNA (245 nucleotides) under uncultured bacterium. RNAcentral's name for it is "partial 16S ribosomal RNA". It matches the Rfam family "Bacterial small subunit ribosomal RNA", at positions 524 to 768 of the family's 1533-position model. The record is from RNAcentral.
UACGUAGGGUGCAAGCGUUAAUCGGAAUUACUGGGCGUAAAGCGUGCGCAGGCGGUUCGCUAAGACCGAUGUGAAAUCCCCGGGCUUAACCUGGGAACUGCAUUGGUGACUGGCGGGCUAGAGUAUGGCAGAGGGGGGUAGAAUUCCACGUGUAGCAGUGAAAUGCGUAGAGAUGUGGAGGAAUACCGAUGGCGAAGGCAGCCCCCUGGGCCAAUACUGACGCUCAUGCACGAAAGCGUGGGGAG